RNAcentral lists this transfer RNA (69 nucleotides) under Abavorana sp. USMHC_1468. Its description in RNAcentral is "partial tRNA-Glx". Lineage: Eukaryota; Metazoa; Chordata; Amphibia; Anura; Ranidae. The record is from RNAcentral.
CUAAAGAGAUAGGAGUCGAACCUACACUCAAGGGAUCAAAACCCUUAGUACUCCCAUUAUACUACUCCU